Molecule: ribosomal RNA, 856 nt
Filed under: uncultured bacterium
Lineage: Bacteria
Description: SSU rRNA
Rfam family: Bacterial small subunit ribosomal RNA
Source: RNAcentral
UACGUAGGGGGCAAGCGUUGUCCGGAAUCACUGGGCGUAAAGCGUGCGUAGGCGGUUUUACAAGUCUGGGGUGAAAGUCCAAGGCUCAACCUUGGGAAUGCCUUGGAAACUGUAGAACUUGAGUACUGGAGAGGCAAGGGGAAUUCCACGUGUAGCGGUGAAAUGCGUAGAUAUGUGGAGGAAUACCAGUGGCGAAGGCGCCUUGCUGGACAGUGACUGACGCUGAGGCACGAAAGCGUGGGGAGCAAACAGGAUUAGAUACCCUGGUAGUCCACGCCGUAAACGAUGAGUGCUAGGUGUUGGGGGUUACCGCCCUCAGUGCCGAAGGAAACCCAAUAAGCACUCCGCCUGGGGAGUACGGUCGCAAGACUGAAACUCAAAGGAAUUGACGGGGGCCCGCACAAGCAGUGGAGCAUGUGGUUUAAUUCGAAGCAACGCGAAGAACCUUACCAGGGCUUGACAUCCCCCUGACCGGUGUAGAGAUACACCUUCCCUUCGGGGCAGGGGAGACAGGUGGUGCAUGGUUGUCGUCAGCUCGUGCCGUGAGAUGUUGGGUUAAGUCCCGCAACGAGCGCAACCCUUGAUCUGUGUUACCAGCACGUCAUGGUGGGGACUCACAGGUGACUGCCGGCGUAAGUCGGAGGAAGGUGGGGAUGACGUCAAAUCAUCAUGCCCUUUAUGUCCUGGGCUACACACGUGCUACAAUGGGCGGUACAACGGGAAGCAAGACCGCGAGGUGGAGCAAAUCCCUGAAAACCGUUCGUAGUUCGGAUUGCAGGCUGCAACUCGCCUGCAUGAAGCCGGAAUUGCUAGUAAUCGCGGAUCAGCAUGCCGCGGUGAAUCCGUUCCCGGGCCU